This 853-nucleotide ribosomal RNA is filed under the name Lodderomyces parapsilosis. RNAcentral describes it as "eukaryotic LSU rRNA". The stretch from base 1 to 232 matches the Rfam family "Eukaryotic small subunit ribosomal RNA", at positions 1603 to 1831 of the family's 1831-position model. The record is from RNAcentral. Lineage: Eukaryota; Fungi; Ascomycota; Pichiomycetes; Serinales; Debaryomycetaceae.
UCAAGGAACUUCCUAGUAAGCGCAAGUCAUCAGCUUGCGUUGAUUACGUCCCUGCCCUUUGUACACACCGCCCGUCGCUACUACCGAUUGAAUGGCUUAGUGAGGCUUCCGGAUUGGUUUAGAGAAGGGGGCAACUCCAUCUUGGAACCGAGAAGCUAGUCAAACUUGGUCAUUUAGAGGAAGUAAAAGUCGUAACAAGGUUUCCGUAGGUGAACCUGCGGAAGGAUCAUUACAGAAUGAAAAGUGCUUAACUGCAUUUUUUCUUACACAUGUGUUUUUCUUUUUUUGAAAACUUUGCUUUGGUAGGCCUUCUAUAUGGGGCCUGCCAGAGAUUAAACUCAACCAAAUUUUAUUUAAUGUCAACCGAUUAUUUAAUAGUCAAAACUUUCAACAACGGAUCUCUUGGUUCUCGCAUCGAUGAAGAACGCAGCGAAAUGCGAUAAGUAAUAUGAAUUGCAGAUAUUCGUGAAUCAUCGAAUCUUUGAACGCACAUUGCGCCCUUUGGUAUUCCAAAGGGCAUGCCUGUUUGAGCGUCAUUUCUCCCUCAAACCCUCGGGUUUGGUGUUGAGCGAUACGCUGGGUUUGCUUGAAAGAAAGGCGGAGUAUAAACUAAUGGAUAGGUUUUUUCCACUCAUUGGUACAAACUCCAAAACUUCUUCCAAAUUCGACCUCAAAUCAGGUAGGACUACCCGCUGAACUUAAGCAUAUCAAUAAGCGGAGGAAAAGAAACCAACAGGGAUUGCCUUAGUAGCGGCGAGUGAAGCGGCAAAAGCUCAAAUUUGAAAUCUGGCACUUUCAGUGUCCGAGUUGUAAUUUGAAGAAGGUAUCUUUGGGUCUGGUCUUGUCUACGUUG